CCUACGGGCGGCUGCAGUGGGGAAUAUUGGGCAAUGGGGGAAACCCUGACCCAGCAACGCCGCGUGAAGGAAGAAGGUUUUCGGAUUGUAAACUUCUGUCCUUGGUGAAGAGAAGAAGACGGUAGCCAAGGAGGAAGCCCCGGCUAACUACGUGCCAGCAGCCGCGGUAAUACGUAGGGGGCAAGCGUUGUCCGGAAUGAUUGGGCGUAAAGGGCGCGUAGGCGGCUUUAUAAGUCUGGAGUGAAAGUCCUCUUUUCAAGGGAGGAAUUGCUUUGGAAACUAUAGAGCUUGAGUGCAGGAGAGGUUAUCGGAAUUCCCGGUGUAGCGGUGAAAUGCGUAGAUAUCGGGAGGAACAUCGGUGGCGAAGGCGGGUAACUGGACUGCAACUGACGCUGAGGCGCGAAAGUGUGGGGAGCAAACAGGAUUAGAUACCCCGGUAGUC
RNAcentral lists this ribosomal RNA (442 nucleotides) under uncultured Christensenellaceae bacterium. RNAcentral's name for it is "bacterial SSU rRNA". It matches the Rfam family "Bacterial small subunit ribosomal RNA", at positions 338 to 795 of the family's 1533-position model. The record is from RNAcentral. Lineage: Bacteria; Bacillati; Bacillota; Clostridia; Christensenellales; Christensenellaceae.